AUUGAACGCUGGCGGCAGGCCUAACACAUGCAAGUCGAGCGGAUGAAGGGAGCUUGCUCCUGGAUUCAGCGGCGGACGGGUGAGUAAUGCCUAGGAAUCUGCCUGGUAGUGGGGGAUAACGUCCGGAAACGGGCGCUAAUACCCCAUACGCCCUGAGGGCGAAAGGGGGGGAGCUUCGGACCUCACGCUAUCAGAUGAGCCUAGGUCGGAUUAGCUAGUUGGUGGGGUAAAGGCCUACCAAGGCGACGAUCCGUAACUGGUCUGAGAGGAUGAUCAGUCACACUGGAACUGAGACACGGUCCAGACUCCUACGGGAGGCAGCAGUGGGGAAUAUUGGACAAUGGGCGAAAGCCUGAUCCAGCCAUGCCGCGUGUGUGAAGAAGGUCUUCGGAUUGUAAAGCACUUUAAGUUGGGAGGAAGGGCAGUAAGUUAAUACCUUGCUGUUUUGACGUUACCAACAGAAUAAGCACCGGCUAACUUCGUG
RNAcentral lists this ribosomal RNA (484 nucleotides) under uncultured bacterium. RNAcentral's name for it is "partial 16S ribosomal RNA". It matches the Rfam family "Bacterial small subunit ribosomal RNA", at positions 30 to 507 of the family's 1533-position model. The record is from RNAcentral.